Paramuricea clavata is the source of this 813-nucleotide non-coding RNA. NCBI's taxonomy places the organism in Eukaryota, Metazoa, Cnidaria, Anthozoa, Malacalcyonacea, Plexauridae. The record is from the annotation of a GenBank genome assembly.
GGAGUUAAUUGGGUGUCCAUUAGCAAUAAUGCAAAGCUCACUUCCCUCGUGGUUGUUUGAGCACUCUGGCCCCAUGUCACUCUGCGUAUGUCUGGAUGCGUUGAUGGCCCGUAUUGUACCACAUGCGCUUGGGAAGUGCACAGUAAAAUUCAAAGGGUAAAAGUCACUCCAAGAAGUGGGGUAAAAUUUUGUCCUAAAAACGCCCCAGUUUUUUAGGGUAACUUUCAGUAGGGAGUAAAUUUUACUCGAAGAUUAAGGAGCAAAUUUUACUCCAAAAACGAGGGUAACUGUUUUGUCCUAAAAAUUACCCCAUUUUAGAGGGUAAAAAUACGGGUAGAGUAAAAUUUGCCCACCAUGGAAUAGUGUAAUUUCUACUCCAUGCACGAAGAGAUUCUUUCACAAUUCACGCUACAAUAGCACUUUCGACCUGCAAAUUUAAGCAUAAUUCCUUGGUACGCUGCAUGGUUGCUGCACGAUUGUCUCCAACAAUUAGGAUGCCUUUCACAAUUAUAGGCUAUAUACACAAAUAUUUAAAACAUAAACAUAUAUUUUAUUAGUCACGUUUCACAAAGCAUUUGUUUCAUCUUGUUUUUAUACACAGUUACAGACAUACACAAGUUAAAAUUAUAGGCUUAAUCACGGGGAAAGCACAAUGCAUGCAUGUUUUAUAUGACACGCUGUAUAUAUAGAUAUUCUUGCUCCUGGAUUUUAAGUACUGUAUAUAUACUGCAAGGGUCUUCAAUCAUCAAUCUGGAUAGCGACCAAAAUGAGAAUGUGCAUGACCAAAGUUUGCAAUUCCAAUAUUUCUAUAAA